Molecule: ribosomal RNA, 195 nt
Filed under: Thermomonospora echinospora
Lineage: Bacteria; Bacillati; Actinomycetota; Actinomycetes; Streptosporangiales; Thermomonosporaceae
Description: Actinomadura echinospora partial 16S ribosomal RNA
Rfam family: Bacterial small subunit ribosomal RNA
Source: RNAcentral
UAUUGCGCAAUGGGCGGAAGCCUGACGCAGCGACGCCGCGUGGGGGAUGAAGGCCUUCGGGUUGUAAACCUCUUUCAGCACCGACGAAUCUGACGGUAGGUGCAGAAGAAGCGCCGGCUAACUACGUGCCAGCAGCCGCGGUAAUACGUAGGGCGCAAGCGUUGUCCGGAAUUAUUGGGCGUAAAGAGCUCGUAG